AUGCCAAUAUCUUCUACCACCCAUGACAGAACCUCUCCCACUGUGUUCAUGUACAAAUGCAUAUGUGUGAGACCCUACCUUUCACAGAAUCACAGAAUCACUGAGGUUGGAAGGGACCUSUGGAGAUCAUCUAGUCCAACCCCCCUGCUCAAGCAGGGUCACCUAGAGCACAUUGCACAGGAUUGCAUCCAGGCACGUUUUGAAUAUCUCCAGAGAAGGAGACUCCACAACCUCUCUGGGCAACCUCUUCCAGUGCUCUGUCACCCUCACAGUGAAAAAGUUUUUCCUCAKCUUCAGAUGAGGAUGAUCUGUGUGCGGUCACAGGGCUAUGAUCUCAUUGCAAUUACAGAAACAUGGUGGGAUAGCUCACAUGACUGGAGUGCUGUCAUGGAUGGCUACGUGCUUUUUAGGAAAGACAGGCCAGGAAAGCGAGGUGGUGGAGUUGCUGACCUGCUGGAAAGAAGCUCUGCUGAGAAGGACCUGGGAGUGCUGGUGGACACCAAGUUAAGCAUGAGCCAGCAAUGUGCCCUUGUGGCCAAGGAGGCCAGUGGUAUCCUGCGGUGCAUCAGGAAGAGUGUUGCCAGCAGGUCGAGGGAGGUGAUUCUCCCCCUCUACUCAGCCCUGGUGAGGCCACAUCUGGAGUACUGCGUCCAGUUCUGGGCUCCCCAGUACAAGAGGGAUGUGGCACUACUGGAGCAAGUCCAGCGGAGGGCUACAAAGAUGAUUAGGGGACUGGAGCAUCUCCCCUAUGAGAAAAAGCUGAGAGAGCUGGGCCUGUUUAGCUUGGAGAAGAGAAGGCUGAGAGGAGAUCUUAUAAAUGUAUACAAAUAUCUAAAGGGAGUGUGUCAAGAGGAUGGGGCCGGACUCUUUUCAGUGGUGCCCAGCGACAGGACGCAAGGCAAUGGGCACAAACUGAAACACAGACAAUUCCACCUGAACAUGAGGAAAAACUUUUUCACUGUGAGGGUGACAGAGCACUGGAACAGGUUGCCCAGAGAGGUUGUGGUCUCCUUCUCUGGAGAUAUUCAAAACGUGCCUGGAUGCAAUCCUGUGCAAUGUGCUCUAGGUGACCCUGCUUGA
This 1080-nucleotide long non-coding RNA is filed under the name Apteryx haastii (Great spotted kiwi). Its description in RNAcentral is "lncRNA (ENSAHAG00000010046.1)". The record is from RNAcentral. Lineage: Eukaryota; Metazoa; Chordata; Aves; Apterygiformes; Apterygidae.